CUUUUAAAAGGGAGACGGCAUCUGAACCUUGCCGAGUAGGAAUGUUCCAGAAGUAAGAGAGAUGACUAGGGUUUCAAGAACAAGGACCAGCACCUAUGAAGGCUCUGAGGCACAGACCACUGUGACCUGUGGAGAAGUGAAACAUCCACCCGAGGCAUCCAAGAAUUCGCAGUUCAGAUCUGGCCUUCCAGAAAGUCAUGAAGUUCUACUUGUCAAGACAGCAAAGUGAAAGGCACGUUUUGAUUACUACCGACAUUCACAGUCUGGACACGGGUGACAAAUCUAAAAGAUAUUGCCCAUUCGUCCAACUGCCGCUGUCCUGCCAGUAUAUCGUCUGAGAUUACCAUCAGCUAAAUAUUGCAUUGUCUUUGGACAAUUUUCCUACAUUGUGACUCCUCACUACAUUUUCAAUGCUUUUCUAGUCCCAGACAAGCUACAGACUGUUAAUUUACACUUGCUUUUGCCUUGCCUGAGGAAAUUGAAAAUAAAUUUUAAUUUCCUAGUCAAGGGCUACGGGUGCUUUGUGUGGUUUGGAGGAAAAAAAAAUACUGUUAGAUGGAAUUAGGGAAUAUUAGGAGAGUUUCUGAAGUUAGUGAAGGUACACAGUAAUUGAUCACUUGCCCUCAUAGUGAGAGGUCAUUCCAAUGAGCAGAGGUUCUGUCAAUAUCUGAGAUCUGUUUGAUACCUGGCCUCAAUCUGUCGAUCACGCCCAGUAACCAUAUUCAUAGGCUUCAGAUCUGAAUUUUGAAUUGCAUCAGAAGCUUUCCUCUGGCCUCAGAGAUGCCAUUGAGACCAUUCUCAUAGUUAGUCACCACUCACACUACACAAAAUGGAAGAAAAAAACUUCCUUUGGGGCAAAUCAACAAUCUCUGGUAGGAAAAUAAACAAGGAUGCUUUCAGAAUACCAGAAGCCCAAGUCUGAGCAUCUGGAGGCAAAGGAAGAGUAGAGAAGUCUUUGUUGGUGGGACCACUGCCUGUAGGAAUUUAAGGGAACUUGGAUCUUAGGAGUUGCUCAGUUAAGUCCUAGAGAGAGCCUAAGUGGGACUGAUGAGAAGCAGAACAAAUUGCUAUUUCUGAGAAGAAAAACCAACACUUUUGGAUGUUAACUUUUGGAUGUUUGAAUUUUUUGUUUUAGUUUUUAUUCCUUUUGGGAAAAGCUAUUUUUAUCGCAAAAAAAUAUGUAAAGCUAGCAACAAAAUAGUUGAAAGUAUUUAUUGUGUACCUACUGUGUGAUAAUAGCAGCUGGGUUUCAAACACAAGUGAAUAUGAAAUAAAUGAGCCCUAGAUGCACAAAAA
This 1296-nucleotide long non-coding RNA is filed under the name Homo sapiens (human). RNAcentral describes it as "HSALNT0096865". Lineage: Eukaryota; Metazoa; Chordata; Mammalia; Primates; Hominidae. The record is from RNAcentral.